Molecule: ribosomal RNA, 465 nt
Filed under: uncultured bacterium
Lineage: Bacteria
Description: partial 16S ribosomal RNA
Rfam family: Bacterial small subunit ribosomal RNA
Source: RNAcentral
GACGAACGCUGGCGGCGUGCUUAACACAUGCAAGUCGAACGGUAAGGCUCCAGCUUGCUGGGGUACACGAGUGGCGAACGGGUGAGUAACACGUGGGUGACCUGCCCUGCACUUCGGGAUAAGCCUGGGAAACUGGGUCUAAUACCGGAUAGGACCGCACCGUGAGGGUGUGGUGGAAAGUUUUUUCGGUGUGGGAUGGGCCCGUGGCCUAUCAGCUUGUUGGUGGGGUAAUGGCCUACCAAGGCGGCGACGGGUAGCCGGCCUGAGAGGGUGGACGGCCACAUUGGGACUGAGACACGGCCCAGACUCCUACGGGAGGCAGCAGUGGGGAAUAUUGCACAAUGGGCGGAAGCCUGAUGCAGCGACGCCGCGUGGGGGAUGACGGCCUUCGGGUUGUAAACUCCUUUCACCAUCGACGAAGGGUUUCUGACGGUAGAUGGAGAAGAAGCACCGGCUAACUACGUG